GCGAGGGUGGCGAAAUGGUAGACGCGGGGGACUUAAAAUCCCCUCCGGGCAACCGGGUGCGGGUUCGAUUCCCGCCCUUCGCA
Molecule: transfer RNA, 83 nt
Filed under: Gemmatimonadaceae bacterium
Lineage: Bacteria; Pseudomonadati; Gemmatimonadota; Gemmatimonadia; Gemmatimonadales; Gemmatimonadaceae
Description: tRNA-Leu
Rfam family: tRNA
About the family: Transfer RNA (tRNA) molecules are approximately 80 nucleotides in length. Their secondary structure includes four short double-helical elements and three loops (D, anti-codon, and T loops).
Source: RNAcentral